Molecule: ribosomal RNA, 467 nt
Filed under: uncultured bacterium
Lineage: Bacteria
Description: partial 16S ribosomal RNA
Rfam family: Bacterial small subunit ribosomal RNA
Source: RNAcentral
GAUGAACGCUGACGGAAUGCUUAACACAUGCAAGUCAACUUGAAUUUGGGUUUUUACCUUAGGUUUGGGUGGCGGACGGGUGAGUAACGCGUAAAGAACUUGCCUCACAGCUAGGGACAACAUUUGGAAACGAAUGCUAAUACCUAAUAUUAUGAUAAUAGGGCAUCCUAUAAUUAUGAAAGCUAUAAGCGCUGUGAGAGAGCUUUGCGUCCCAUUAGCUAGUUGGAGAGGUAACGGCUCACCAAGGCGAUGAUGGGUAGCCGGCCUGAGAGGGUGAUCGGCCACAAGGGGACUGAGACACGGCCCUUACUCCUACGGGAGGCAGCAGUGGGGAAUAUUGGACAAUGGACCGAGAGUCUGAUCCAGCAAUUCUGUGUGCACGAUGAAGUUUUUCGGAAUGUAAAGUGCUUUCAGUUGGGAAGAAACAAAUGACGGUACCAACAGAAGAAGUGACGGCUAAAUACGUG